This 230-nucleotide long non-coding RNA is filed under the name Capsicum annuum. RNAcentral describes it as "long non-coding RNA (CANN_LNC013873)". The record is from RNAcentral. Lineage: Eukaryota; Viridiplantae; Streptophyta; Magnoliopsida; Solanales; Solanaceae.
CCCGUCUUAGUCUCUACUUUCUUCUUUACUUCUUCAUUCCACCACCAAUCCCCCUGCCGCUGAUCGGCUCGGCCCUUCGAGAUAGCCAACACCAUUCUAGUUGUCUUCUUGAUACGCCUAGCAGCCCUAUCCCACAUACCAUCCACAUCACCUCUAUAUUCCCACACCCAUAUCUCUGUCAGCUUCUCACCUAUCUCCAAUGCACUAACUGGAGUCAAGCCCCUCCCUCC